UUUUCGGUUGAUCCUGCCGGAGGCCACUGCUAUCGGGGUUCGAUUAAGCCAUGCGAGUCGAGAGGGUUUAGACCCUCGGCGGACUGCUCAGUAACACGUGGAUAACCUGCCCUAAGGUGGAGGAUAACCCCGGGAAACUGGGGAUAAUACUCCAUAGAUUAGAGAUACUGGAAUGUUCUUUAGUCAAAAGUUCUGGCGCCUUAGGAUGGAUCUGCGGUCGAUUAGGUUGUUGUUGGGGUAACGGCCCAACAAGCCUGUAAUCGAUACGGGUUGUGGGAGCAAUAGCCCGGAGAUGGAAUCUGAGACAAGAUUCCAGGCCCUACGGGGCGCAGCAGGCGCGAAAACUUUACAAUGCAGGAAACUGUGAUAAGGGAACCCCGAGUGCCCGUAUACGCGGGCUGUCCAGGUGUUUAAAAGUCAUCUGAAGAAAGGGCCGGGCAAGACCGGUGCCAGCCGCCGCGGUAAUACCGGCGGCUCGAGUGGUGGCCACUAUUAUUGGGCUUAAAGCGUCCGUAGCUGGACUGAUAAGUCUCUUGGGAAAUCCGCCGGCUCAACCGGCGGGCGUCUAAGGGAUACUGUUGGUCUAGGGACCGGGAGAGGUGAGAGGUACUCCGGGGGUAGGAGUGAAAUCCUGUAAUCCCCGGGGGACCACCGAUGGCGAAGGCAUCUCACCAGAACGGCUCCGACAGUGAGGGACGAAAGCUGGGGGAGCAAACCGGAUUAGAUACCCGGGUAGUCCCAGCCGUAAACUAUGCGCGUU
RNAcentral lists this ribosomal RNA (760 nucleotides) under uncultured Methanogenium sp. RNAcentral describes it as "bacterial SSU rRNA". It matches the Rfam family "Archaeal small subunit ribosomal RNA", at positions 1 to 768 of the family's 1478-position model. Lineage: Archaea; Methanobacteriati; Methanobacteriota; Methanomicrobia; Methanomicrobiales; Methanomicrobiaceae. The record is from RNAcentral.